This 1402-nucleotide long non-coding RNA is filed under the name Salvator merianae (Argentine black and white tegu). RNAcentral's name for it is "lncRNA (ENSSMRG00000010976.1)". Lineage: Eukaryota; Metazoa; Chordata; Lepidosauria; Squamata; Teiidae. The record is from RNAcentral.
CUUAAAUUCUACACCCUGUUAGGAAAGUUUGUAUUCAUUGAAUAAGAGUUUGACACAUCCCUAGAUCACAGCUAUCCAGCCUAAAGGACCAAGUAGAAUUCCAAGUCAUUAAGAGGUUUGGUUUUUUUUUAAUAGGUGAAGAUUAUACAUGAUAUGGCGUACUUACUUGGAAACAUGGCUAAAAGGUGUAAUGUCAGUCAAGAGUUACAGAAAAGUAUGGCCGAUGUUUCAGAUGUGACUGUGAGAAUAUUAAAGGGAUGCAUCACCUGCACUGCUGCAAACCCACAAAGCUCUCGUCCAAAAUCCAAGGGCAUCAAAAAGAUGUGUUCUUUGUGUUGUAUACAGAAAUUAGUUUCUCGCUUCAGGUUUUGUUGGAUUCAGUCCAUGACUACCUAUCUCUGACCUUCUGAAAGAUUGUUAGAAUGACAUGAACGAUAACGAAUCACAAAAUGCUCUGGUUUUGCAGAGUAUACUGGUUUUAUGCACAGAACUAUACAAUUCAAGCAUUUCCUUUUGGCUUGUGCAAAUAUUCUACCUGAGAAGACUUGCUAUGCAUUUAUUUAUGGAGGAAUGGAAGAAAAUAGGUGCAAGAUGAAUGUGUUUCAAGACAACCCACAACAUCACGGAAAGCAGAGAACGUGCAAUUUGAUUUGGACCGAUUUGUGGAAGUCAGAGCUACUGAUGACUAAUAGCCCUGUUGACAGUAGGAGGUGAUAUGCCUCUGAAGAACCACUGCUGAGACUCGUGUCCUGCUGGUGGGUUUCCUUGUACAGUUGGCUGGCAACUAUGAGAACAGACUGUUGGGAUAGAUGAACCAUGAGCUGUUGGGAUAGAUGAACCAUGAGUCCAAUCCAGUGGGGCAUUUCUUAUGUCUUUAUUCAUACAGUAGGUCACAUUUACAUCUCAGUAGUUCAUAACAGCAAUAAUUCCUUUUUAAAAGUAUGUAAUUGUAACAUUUAAACUUUAAUUUAAGAAGCAAAGUAGCACUUUAAAAACAACAAAGGAAUUUAUUAUUCUUUACUUCCACUAAUGCAAAUCUUAUGGUUAAAAAAAAACCCCUCUUUAAAGAAAAGUUAAGGUUUACUAAUUUUACUCACUGGAUUUGAAAAAUGAUAAAGGACUAGAGGCAAGGUUAGAAGAAAGAAGAAUAACAAAGUUUGAGGACUUUAAGGAAGACAGUCAGGAUAUGAAGCUUCCAGGAGUAGAGUCUGAGUGGAGGAAAGUUCUGUGUUUUGCUGUUAAAUAGACUCAUGCACAAAUACUCAGGAAUUGCUCCAAUUUAGGAAUAACUUCUUGAGUUCAAGCCAUUUAAUGCAGUUAAAGCCAUGUAGCUUAAAAUAUUUAGAUAUUAUUUUUAUAAAAUAUUGACAUUUUUAUAGCUAAGAUGUGCCACUUAACACAU